GCAAACUUGGUCAUUUAGAGGAAGUAAAAGUCGUAACAAGGUUUCCGUAGGUGAACCUGCGGAAGGAUCAUUAACAAGUCCGCGUGACACGUGCGUGCCGGCUGCGCUGCGCCGUGGAGUAUUUCAUUCCACGCUGCGCAUGCGCGGCGGAACAUUUACUUUUGCCUGAUGUCGCAGCAGCGAAUAACAGCAACAACAACAACAACUUUUAACAAUGGAUCUCUAGGCUCUUGCAUCGAUGAAGAACGCAGC
RNAcentral lists this unclassified non-coding RNA (252 nucleotides) under uncultured fungus. RNAcentral's name for it is "partial contains small subunit ribosomal RNA, internal transcribed spacer 1, and 5.8S ribosomal RNA". The stretch from base 1 to 73 matches the Rfam family "Eukaryotic small subunit ribosomal RNA", at positions 1759 to 1831 of the family's 1831-position model. Lineage: Eukaryota; Fungi. The record is from RNAcentral.